RNAcentral lists this ribosomal RNA (301 nucleotides) under uncultured bacterium. Its description in RNAcentral is "partial 16S ribosomal RNA". It matches the Rfam family "Bacterial small subunit ribosomal RNA", at positions 509 to 807 of the family's 1533-position model. The record is from RNAcentral.
CAGCCGCCGCGGUAAUACGGAGGGUGCAAGCGUUAUCCGGAUUCACUGGGUUUAAAGGGUGCGUAGGCGGAUCUGUAAGUCAGUGGUGAAAUCUCCAGGCUUAACCUGGAAACUGCCGUUGAUACUAUAGGUCUUGAAUUUUGUGGAGGUUAGCGGAAUAUGUCAUGUAGCGGUGAAAUGCAUAGAUAUGACAUAGAACACCAAUUGCGAAGGCAGCUGGCUACACAACUAUUGACGCUGAGGCACGAAAGCGUGGGGAUCAAACAGGAUUAGAUACCCCCGUAGUCCCUGUCUCUUAUAC